Molecule: long non-coding RNA, 444 nt
Organism: Ahaetulla prasina
Lineage: Eukaryota; Metazoa; Chordata; Lepidosauria; Squamata; Colubridae
Exons: 3
Source: RefSeq, a predicted model, not a curated record
CCGUGAUCCAGGCAGAGUCAAGGGGCUCUGUGAGAUCCCGUUAAGAUUAGCUGAUGGCAAAACCAUAAAGGAUGGAAUAUCUUGUGCAAUUUUCAAAGGGGCCUUCUCCAAGCAAAGUGUGUCUGUGAAAUGCAACAGUAUUUCAAAACUAUUUCAUGGAGCAGCCACUCCGCUUUGAUUAAUAUCAGUGUCUUCUGAGCCAGCCAUUUUUGGGAGAUGCAUCUGCCAAGUGAAACUGAUUGGCCAUAAUUUGAUGAAGAGUCAAGGUGAAAUAUACACCUCCAAAAGAUAUUUUAUCAUGUUGCUGUUUUUUUCAAAAUGGGAACUGUCAAGGUGAAAAACCAGAACAAUUGAUUGGAAUAUGCUGAAGAACAUUCUCCAAAGAUCCAUCCAUGGGUCAGAUGACUUUGCAAUUUCUCCUUGAAGUAGCCAUUUUCUACAAGG